UUGUAAUCCCCCUAGGCCAUGUCAGGAGCCGCAGCGGCAGAGCAGAUUGGUGCCAUGUCUGUGCCUGUUACCCAUGGAGGCCUGAAGAGGGCAUAGGAUCCCCUGGAACUGGAGUUAGAGAUGGUUGGGAACCACCAUGCAGCUGAGUAUGUACCAGAGAAGGUGAAGAAAGCGGAAAAGAAAUUAGAAGAAAAUCCAUAUGACCUUGAUGCUUGGAGCAUUCUCAUUCGAGAGGCACAGAAUCAACCUAUAGACAAAGCACGGAAGACUUACGAGCUCCUUGUUGCCCAGUUCCCCAGUUCUGGCAGAUUCUGGAAACUGUACAUUGAAGCAGAGGUUAAUAUUUUACUUAUUUUUUCUUAUAUAGCAUCUGGUGGGACUUACAACUUACACUAUAGUUUUAGAAAAGAAGUUAGGAGUGUAGUAUAAUCAGGACAAGGAGGAUUUAAAUGUCUCUGCCUUUAUUUUGUAAAAUAGGUAUGAAGGAGUAAUUAAAAUGACUUUGAAAUUUGGGUCGUUCACAAGCUGAUGAUUGUUGCAUUUUGGAGUUGCAACAACAUUAAAACAGUUUCAAUGGUG
Molecule: long non-coding RNA, 579 nt
Organism: Peromyscus maniculatus bairdii (prairie deer mouse)
Lineage: Eukaryota; Metazoa; Chordata; Mammalia; Rodentia; Cricetidae
Source: RefSeq, a predicted model, not a curated record